UUAAAACCAAUUUGUAAGUCGCUCUGGAUAAGAGCGUCUGCUAAAUGACUUAAA
Salmo salar (Atlantic salmon) is the source of this 54-nucleotide non-coding RNA. The record is from Rfam. Lineage: Eukaryota; Metazoa; Chordata; Actinopteri; Salmoniformes; Salmonidae.